RNAcentral lists this ribosomal RNA (408 nucleotides) under uncultured bacterium. RNAcentral's name for it is "partial 16S ribosomal RNA". It matches the Rfam family "Bacterial small subunit ribosomal RNA", at positions 28 to 526 of the family's 1533-position model. The record is from RNAcentral.
GACGAACGCUGGCGGCGUGCUUAACACAUGCAAGUCGAACGAAGUGGCGAACGGGUGAGUAACGCGUAAUCAACCUGCCCUUCAGAGGGGGACAACAGUUGGAAACGACUGCUAAUACCGCAUACUGAAGGAGGGGAUUGCGUCUGAUUAGCUAGUUGGAGGGGUAACGGCCCACCAAGGCGAUGAUCAGUAGCCGGUCUGAGAGGAUGAACGGCCACAUUGGGACUGAGACACGGCCCAGACUCCUACGGGAGGCAGCAGUGGGGAAUCUUCCGCAAUGGACGAAAGUCUGACGGAGCAACGCCGCGUGGGGGAUGAAGGCCUUCGGGUUGUAAACUCCUUUCGACAGGGACGCGGUACCUGUAUAAGAAGCACCGGCUAACUACGUGCCAGCAGCCGCGGUAAUAC